Molecule: ribosomal RNA, 117 nt
Filed under: Esox lucius (northern pike)
Lineage: Eukaryota; Metazoa; Chordata; Actinopteri; Esociformes; Esocidae
Source: RNAcentral
GGCUACGGCCACACCUCCCUGAGCCACCAGAUCUCGUAUGAUCUCGGAAGCUAAGCAGGGUCGGGCCGGUUAGUACUUGGAUGGGAGCACGCCUGGGAAUACCAGGUGCUGUAAGCC